GUCUCCAUAGCUCAGUGGUUUAGAGCGGCUGCCUGCAGUCAGCACAGCAGCAGGUCAUGUGUUCAAAUCACAUUGGGGACU
This is a transfer RNA of Puccinia graminis f. sp. tritici, 81 nucleotides long. It matches the Rfam family "tRNA". From Rfam's summary of the family: Transfer RNA (tRNA) molecules are approximately 80 nucleotides in length. Their secondary structure includes four short double-helical elements and three loops (D, anti-codon, and T loops). Further hydrogen bonds mediate the characteristic L-shaped molecular structure. tRNAs have two regions of fundamental functional importance: the anti-codon, which is responsible for specific mRNA codon recognition, and the 3' end, to which the tRNAs corresponding amino acid is attached (by aminoacyl-tRNA synthetases). tRNAs cope with the degeneracy of the genetic code in two manners: having more than one tRNA (with a specific anti-codon) for a particular amino acid; and 'wobble' base-pairing, i.e. permitting non-standard base-pairing at the 3rd anti-codon position. The record is from Rfam. Lineage: Eukaryota; Fungi; Basidiomycota; Pucciniomycetes; Pucciniales; Pucciniaceae.